RNAcentral lists this ribosomal RNA (468 nucleotides) under uncultured bacterium. RNAcentral's name for it is "partial 16S ribosomal RNA". It matches the Rfam family "Bacterial small subunit ribosomal RNA", at positions 28 to 507 of the family's 1533-position model. The record is from RNAcentral.
GACGAACGCUGGCGGCGUGCUUAACACAUGCAAGUCGAACGGAAAGGCUCUGCUUUUGUGUGGUGCUCGAGUGGCGAACGGGUGAGUAACACGUGAGUAACCUGCCCUUGACUUUGGGAUAACUUCAGGAAACUGGGGCUAAUACCGGAUAGGAGCUCCUGCUGCAUGGUGGGGGUUGGAAAGUUUCGGCGGUUGGGGAUGGACUCGCGGGUUAUCAGCUUGUUGGUGGGGUAGUUGCUUACCAAGGCUUUGACGGGUAGCCGGCCUGAGAGGGUGACCGGCCAGAUUGGGACUGAGAUACGGCCCAGACUCCUACGGGAGGGAGCAGUGGGGAAUAUUGCGCAAUGGGAGGAAGCCUGAUGCAGCAACGCCGCGUGCGGGAUAACGGCCUUCGGGUUGUAAAACGCUUUCGCCUGUGACGAAGCGUGAGUGACGGUAAUGGGUAAAGAAGCACCGGCUAACUACGUG